ACGAACGCUGGCGGCGUGCUUAACACAUGCAGGUCGAACGGAAAGGCCCUGCUUUUGUGGGGUGCUCGAGUGGCGAACGGGUGAGUAACACGUGAGUAACCUGCCCUUGACUUUGGGAUAACUUCAGGAAACUGGGGCUAAUACCGGAUAGGAGCCCCUGCUGCAUGGUGGGGGUUGGAAAGUUUCGGCGGUUGGGGAUGGACUCGCGGCUUAUCAGCCUGUUGGUGGGGUAGUGGCUUACCAAGGCUUUGACGGGUAGCCGGCCUGAGAGGGUGACCGGCCACAUUGGGACUGAGAUACGGCCCAGACUCCUACGGGAGGCAGCAGUGGGGAAUAUUGCACAAUGGGCGGAAGCCUGAUGCAGCAACGCCGCGUGCGGGAUGACGGCCUUCGGGUUGUAAACCGCUUUCGCCUGUGACGAAGCGUGAGUGACGGUAAUGGGUAAAGAAGCACCGGCUAACUACGUG
This 467-nucleotide ribosomal RNA is filed under the name uncultured bacterium. Its description in RNAcentral is "partial 16S ribosomal RNA". It matches the Rfam family "Bacterial small subunit ribosomal RNA", at positions 29 to 507 of the family's 1533-position model. The record is from RNAcentral.